RNAcentral lists this unclassified non-coding RNA (25 nucleotides) under Mus musculus (house mouse). RNAcentral's name for it is "oocyte_clustered_small_RNA6884". The record is from RNAcentral. Lineage: Eukaryota; Metazoa; Chordata; Mammalia; Rodentia; Muridae.
CCGUCAGUGGUUCCAGGAUGCAUCG